This is a long non-coding RNA of Phoenix dactylifera (date palm), 1117 nucleotides long. RefSeq lists it as uncharacterized. NCBI's taxonomy places the organism in Eukaryota, Viridiplantae, Streptophyta, Magnoliopsida, Arecales, Arecaceae. The record is from RefSeq and is a predicted model, not a curated record.
GGAAGUGUAUCUACCGUGCGUCUGGAUCCUUCACAGUCAAGGGUCGAUUAGGUUAAAUUUUGCCGAAACAACUCCUCCUCCUCCUGCGCGAGGAUGGCAGCAGCGUCUAUGGCCGUCUGCACCAACCCUAAAUCCAGACCGAGACGGCCAAACCCCUUCUCUCCCCUCCUAAAACCCCGCAUUUCCCUUUGUACCUCUACCCUUUUCUCCAAUCCCCGGUUCUCUCCCCAUCCCCCUCCUACCCGCCUCUGGGUCACCGGGAAGAUCCUCCGCUUCCGGCGGUGGGGGAGGAGAGAAAGGGAGCCGAGAAGGAGCGCGGCCGCCAGGAGAACAAGCGGAAGGUCUACAUUGUGGACUUACCCUGGAUCUUCUUGGCUCUCGAUCUGGAGAAUCUCGCUGGCCCGUGCGGCACCCCAAAAAUGUGGAGCUUCUUGGCUGGUUAUAAAUCAAGAAUGGGAAUAGCAGAGGCUUCGCCUUCCUCUCUUUGGCUUCGGAGGAGCUUGAUUCUGAUGAACUGGUGGGAAGGAUAACUAGGGUUGAAUUUGCAAAGAGAUUCAGAAGCCACGAUGUCCUCUUCCAGCUGGUGCCACUGCUGUAGAUGCACGAUAGAAAAAAGUUGUCUAGGUACAUUGGUGAGGUCUACAUUUUUGGGUGAGGUCUGCCUGUAUCAAAGAAUUUUCCUCUGCAAAAGUUCAAGCCACUAUCUGCAUGGGUGGUUUUUGGAAACCCAUCAGGGAGAUCUGCUGGAUGGGGCUUUGUUGCUUUUGCCACAAAGGAGGAAGCAGAUGCUGCUAUUUCUGAACUGGAUGGAAAGUACAUGCUAUAGGAAUUGAUGAGAGGACCUGUUUUUCAUACUACAUCAAAAGAACGAUGAUGAAUUUGGAAGUGAGCCAGCAGAGUCGGGCAAUACUGAAGGACAAUCCAACAGCUCAGACAAAGUGCACAAUCGCCAGUUUUUUCUGCUCAUUUCCACCAAAAUAUCACCUGCAAACAUUUAUGGACAUGUCAUGUACCGCAUUCAUGUUGGCACACAAAAAAAUCUUGGAGGGAACUUUUCCCUAAUCUUAUCUAUUAUAUCAUACAUAUAAAAUCUCUUUCCUCAGUUUUUUUCCUCACA